UACGUAGGCAGCAAGCGUUGUUCGGAAUUACUGGGCGUAAAGAGUGUGUAGGCGGUGCUCUAAGUUCGGUGUGAAAUCUCCUGGCUUAACUGGGAGGGUGCGCCGGAAACUGGAGUGCUCGAGCGCGGGAGAGGAAAGCGGAAUUCCUGGUGUAGCGGUGAAAUGCGUAGAUAUCAGGAGGAACACCUGUGGUGUAGACAGCUUUCUGGACCGUAGCUGACGCUGAGACACGAAAGCGUGGGUAGCAAACAGG
Molecule: ribosomal RNA, 253 nt
Filed under: uncultured bacterium
Lineage: Bacteria
Description: partial 16S ribosomal RNA
Rfam family: Bacterial small subunit ribosomal RNA
Source: RNAcentral